Molecule: ribosomal RNA, 497 nt
Filed under: uncultured bacterium
Lineage: Bacteria
Description: partial 16S ribosomal RNA
Rfam family: Bacterial small subunit ribosomal RNA
Source: RNAcentral
GAUGAACGCUGGCGGCGUGCCUAAUACAUGCAAGUCGAGCGAACAGACGAGGAGCUUGCUCCUCUGACGUUAGCGGCGGACGGGUGAGUAACACGUGGAUAACCUACCUAUAAGACUGGGAUAACUUCGGGAAACCGGAGCUAAUACCGGAUAAUAUAUUGAACCGCAUGGUUCAUUAGUGAAAGACGGUUUUGCUGUCACUUAUAGAUGGAUCCGCGCCGCAUUAGCUAGUUGGUAAGGUAACGGCUUACCAAGGCGACGAUGCGUAGCCGACCUGAGAGGGUGAUCGGCCACACUGGAACUGAGACACGGUCCAGACUCCUACGGGAGGCAGCAGUAGGGAAUCUUCCGCAAUGGGCGAAAGCCUGACGGAGCAACGCCGCGUGAGUGAUGAAGGUCUUCGGAUCGUAAAACUCUGUUAGUAGGGAAGAACAAAUGUGUAAGUAACUAUGCACGUCUUGACGGUACCUAAUCAGAAAGCCACGGCUAACUACGUG